This 2253-nucleotide long non-coding RNA is filed under the name Rhipicephalus microplus (southern cattle tick). RNAcentral describes it as "uncharacterized LOC119176254". The record is from RNAcentral. Lineage: Eukaryota; Metazoa; Arthropoda; Arachnida; Ixodida; Ixodidae.
GUGUAGCAUACGCGACGGGCCUUACCGGUAUGCGUAAUUCGGUAUCAUAUCUCAGGAGAUGCAAGGGGAAAAUUCGGCGCUGCUAUUGGCUCAACGCAACCACGUUAUCUAAACGAACUUUUGGUAUUUUUGUUUGUUUUUGUUUUUUAAUACAAGAUGGCGGCGGACAUAGACGUUAGCAGAACACUAGUUUUGCUAUACGCCGUUGAAACUUGUUGAAGCCGUACGCCGUAGAAAUCGCACCGAAACGUGUGGGCUUUUCGCUGACGUUGUCGCUGAAACGAGUUGUGUUCUUACGCAGCUGGUGUGCUCCGAUUUUUUUUAUUUAUUACGCUUUCGUGUGAGCUGCCGGCCGGCGAAGAAGACGCGCCACUUGGUCUACUCCGGAUGUCAGCUGUUUUAAGUGACCUGCCUCAACAUGCAGCUUGACCAAGAUGAACCGACACCAACUGGCCAAAAUUUCUACCCUGCUCCAGCACCUUCAGUGGCACUGUCAGGCACACUAUACUAAAUUCCGUGUUCUUCUGUGCAUAGAAGAGAGCCAGGACACUCCACUGGAAAUGCCAUUUAACAUUAGAUUGGAGAAAAUACUGUGAUGUAACAUGAAGCCCCCCCCCCCCCCCCCCGAGUGUCUUGAUGCUUUUUCCCCAAUUGUAAGAAAUGAUGACCUCACACUUACCAGUUUUCAUUAGAAUGAAUUUAAUUUAUUUUUCAUUUACUGAGAGCAAACAAACUUGUUCAAAGUCUAGUUUGUUUCGGGACUCAUUUGUAUUGCUUUGCCCAACAGCCACCAUUAUUCACAACAAAGAUACUACGACAUGAACUGGUCCCACCCAUCAAAAUGUGUCAGUUAUUUAGCAACCACACCAGAUAUACUUUUGUAAUAAGAGCAUGGGGUUUACAAAAAGACAAAAGUACAUGAUUCUGCACGUGAAGAUACGCUAGCUGACCUUAGAGUCGCUGAAAAGUAAGUUUUGUCUUUUGAGACAUAGGAGAACUUAGAAACACAAUUUCUUCAGUAAAUUUAUGUAUGUAUGUGAAUUUAAAAGUAUAAAUGGCUUAUGAAAGCUUUGUUUCUUUAUUAAAAUGCUCUUAGCUUAAUGCUUAACAUUUUACCUGGUAAGGGCUCCCAAGAAAGAUAGGAAGUCAUGAAUGACUUACAAUUUAUUCAAACGUUUCAUAAGAAUGCUUUCAUAUUCCAUAGUUCUUAGGAAAAAGACUUGAGCAGCAUUUUAGCACUGAAGCAAUAGAGAUAUGAUUAAGUGCUUGAACUGAAAUGAAAAUGCAUAGGUUAAAACUUUACCAUUGGUUUAUAGUUAUCACAAGCGUAAAGUUAAAAUAUGCGAUAUGCAAACACGGACACAUGAGAUAUGCGCAGGCAAGUUCGAAUGUCUGCUUUCUUUUCUUCUGCUGUGCAUCUUUUAAGUUGUUAGUCGGCACUUGCGCACCUUUAUUUCUCUCUAGUGUCCAUGUUUACAUGCCCCGCCUCUUAACAGGAAGACAAACCAACUAGCUCAGCUCUGUUAUUGUAGUGCUUAUUCCGACUUAUCUCUCCUGAAAUAAUAUUGUCCAGUUCAUUACAGGUAACAUAAAUGCAAAUAUCUGGAAGCAUUCUUAAUACAUACUGAUUGUUCAUCAUGUCAUGGAAAUUAUAGAGCACCUUGUUAUCUGUGUAAGAUACAAAUGCCUUUUAAAAACCCCUUCAUAUAUAUAUGUCUCUUAAGACACUGGUUAGUGCGAAGUAAUGUCAAAUGUAUCGUAAUUUAUUUAAUGGAGAGCUUACCUGACCUGUUAAUCAUCUUGGUUCAUUUUGUUCAAAAAUUGUGAACAUUUUUUUGAAAGAAAUUAUUAUAGCAUAUGUAUAACUUAUUACCUACUUUGAAAACAGGUGCUUUUUUUACAAUAACAGAUGGUAAUAGCUUACUGAAGCAACUUCAGUGACCUUUUGUCCUGGGUCAUGAAGCUGUUUUACGUUAACAGCACAUCUUUAAUGAAGUAUUGAGCCUUUAGUAAAUAAUAUUGUACUAGCAAUCUACGUAGUGGUGUAAUAAGCUAGCCUGAUAAAAAACUAGACGCAGUAUGCAAUUGAAUAGGAAAUCUGAUAUGGAGAAAAAUAGCAGAAAGUUUACAUGUCAAAGAGGCUCUAGGUCUCGCGUUAAGAAAUCUAUGUGCUGUCAUUUGUUUCUAGUUAAGGAAUGGGUCCUGUUGGGCAAGUAAUAAUUGCAUCUGAAUAAACAGUGUACUUUUCUGUUA